Long non-coding RNA from Biomphalaria glabrata, 592 nucleotides. RefSeq lists it as uncharacterized. The record is from RefSeq and is a predicted model, not a curated record. The transcript has 2 exons. Lineage: Eukaryota; Metazoa; Mollusca; Gastropoda; Planorbidae.
CCCCCCAAAAUCCCACCAGCAUUUUGCUUUCACCCUUCGCAAAUCUCCACCUGUUUUUCAUCUUGUCUCACUCGCCUCCCUCCUCCUCCGGUUCGGUGUUCCUCCCGGCUGCACGUGUUUCUCACACGUUCAUAUCGUCUGCUUAUCUCCAGUUGUCUCAAGACUUUUAUACGCUCGGGAGGGCGGGAAACAAAACACAUAACACUUUUGUGCGUACAGUGCUAAGUGAAUGGCAGGCGAUCGCCUAGUGUUUCCAGAGCCGUGAGAACAUGAAGUGUUUCAGAGGCUGCAGUAGUCAUUCAGAGGUUGUAGAAGUCAAAUGUAGUGAAUGGCAGGCGAUCGCCUAGUGUUUCCAGAGCCGUGAGAACAUGAAGUGUCUCAGAGGCUGCAGUAGUCAUUCAGAGGUUGUAGAAGUCAAAAGUAGUCAUUCAGAGGUUGCAGAAGUCAAAAGUGGUCAUUCAGAGGUUGUAGAAGUCAAAAGUGGUCAUUCAGAAGUUGGAUAAGAUACAGUAAAAUGGUCAUUCAGAGGUUGUAGAAAACGAAAUAUAUUAGUCAUUCAGAUGUUGCAAAAAGCAAAAAAAAAAAAAAACAA